CGCUGGCGGCAUGCUUACACAUGCAGUCGAACGGUAACAGGUCUUCGGAUGCUGACGAGUGGCGAACGGGUGAGUAAUACAUCGGAACGUGCCCGAUCGUGGGGGAUAACGAGGCGAAAGCUUUGCUAAUACCGCAUACGAUCUACGGAUGAAAGCGGGGGAUCUUCGGACCUCGCGCGGACGGAGCGGCCGAUGGCAGAUUAGGUAGUUGGUGGGAUAAAAGCUUACCAAGCCGACGAUCUGUAGCUGGUCUGAGAGGAUGAUCAGCCACACUGGGACUGAGACACGGCCCAGACUCCUACGGGAGGCAGCAGUGGGGAAUUUUGGACAAUGGGCGAAAGCCUGAUCCGGCCAUGCCGCGUGCAGGAUGAAGGCCUUCGGGUUGUAAACUGCUUUUGUACGGAACGAAAAGCCUCUUUCUAAUAAAGAGGGGUCAUGACGGUACCGUAAGAAUAAGCACCNGCUAACUACGUGCCAGCUUUUCGCGGUAAUACGUAGGGUGCAAGCGUUAAUCGGAAUUACUGGGCGUAAAGCGUGCGCAGGCGGUUUUGUAAGACAGAGGUGAAAUCCCCGGGCUCAACCUGGGAACUGCCUUUGUGACUGCAAGGCUGGAGUGCGGCAGAGGGGGAUGGAAUUCCGCGUGUAGCAGUGAAAUGCGUAGAUAUGCGGAGGAACACCGAUGGCGAAGGCAAUCCCCUGGGCCUGCACUGACGCUCAUGCACGAAAGCGUGGGGAGCAAACAGGAUUAGAUACCUGUAGUCCACGCCCUAAACGAUGUCAACUGGUGUUGGUCUUACUGGCUCAGUAACGAAGCUAACGCGUGAAGUGA
RNAcentral lists this ribosomal RNA (829 nucleotides) under uncultured bacterium. RNAcentral describes it as "bacterial SSU rRNA". It matches the Rfam family "Bacterial small subunit ribosomal RNA", at positions 34 to 868 of the family's 1533-position model. The record is from RNAcentral.